GAAGGGCUUGUAUUGCUCGGGGUGACGGCUGGUCGUUGAUAACAGUGGAAGACUAUGCGAGUUAACAAGUCACUCGAGGAUGUGGAGUGGCAGCUGAGUGGGACCUCUUCACUCUGACCGGUAGACCUUGUGACAGUCGUCUGCUGUGCAAAGGAGUGAAAACCUGCUGGUCUGGGAACAGGGGGUGUUCACUUUGGAGGUCACCAGCAACAGUGUGGGCCUGUCAUGGCUGCGGGUGAGAUGGAGCCUAUCCCAGCUGACCCCAAGGCGUUCCCAGGCCAGCUGUGAGACAUAAUCCCUCCAGCGUGCCCUAGGUUUGCCCCGGGGCCUUCUCCCGCCUGGGCAUGCCCGGAACACCUCACUAGGGAGGCAUUCGGGAGGCAUCCCGACUAGAUGGCCGAGUCACCUCAACUGGCUUGGCUUGAUGUGAAGGAGCAGCAACUCUACUCUGAGCCCCUCACGGAUGACCGAGCUCUUCUCCCUAUCUCUUAGGUUUUUCUCUAUGCCGCCCUCACUGGAAACAGUUUAGACACACCUGUCUGUAUUAGACACUCCAGACUGACAAGGUUCGGGACAUCCCAAAGUGGAAGUGGGCCUUUUAGGAAACAAUUCCAGGCACCGAAACUGCUUGCACU
Molecule: long non-coding RNA, 635 nt
Organism: Dunckerocampus dactyliophorus (ringed pipefish)
Lineage: Eukaryota; Metazoa; Chordata; Actinopteri; Syngnathiformes; Syngnathidae
Exons: 3
Source: RefSeq, a predicted model, not a curated record